Molecule: ribosomal RNA, 301 nt
Filed under: uncultured bacterium
Lineage: Bacteria
Description: partial 16S ribosomal RNA
Rfam family: Bacterial small subunit ribosomal RNA
Source: RNAcentral
CAGUAGCCGCGGUAAUACGGAGGGAGCUAGCGUUAUUCGGAAUUACUGGGCGUAAAGCGCACGUAGGCGGCUUUGUAAGUUAGAGGUGAAAGCCUGGAGCUCAGCUCCAGAAUUGCCUUUAAGACUGCAUCGCUUGAAUCCAGGAGAGGUGAGUGGAAUUCCGAGUGUAGAGGUGAAAUUCGUAGAUAUUCGGAAGAACACCAGUGGCGAAGGCGGCUCACUGGACUGGUAUUGACGCUGAGGUGCGAAAGCGUGGGGAGCAAACAGGAUUAGAUACCCCGGUAGUCCCUGUCUCUUAUAC